This 360-nucleotide unclassified non-coding RNA is filed under the name soil metagenome. Its description in RNAcentral is "partial contains 5.8S ribosomal RNA, internal transcribed spacer 2, and large subunit ribosomal RNA". The stretch from base 1 to 120 matches the Rfam family "5.8S ribosomal RNA", at positions 35 to 154 of the family's 154-position model. The record is from RNAcentral.
GAUGAAGAACGUAGCGAAAUGCGAUAAGUAAUGCGAAUUGCAGAAUUCAGUGAAUCAUCGAAUCUUUGAACGCACAUUGCGCCCGCCAGUAUUCUGGCGGGCAUGCCUGUCUGAGCGUCGUUUCGACCCUCGCGCCCGGCUUCUGUCGGGGGCGGUGUUGGGGAUCGGCCACACCCUUCAGUGGGAGGCCGGCCCCUAAAUUCAGUGGUGACCACGCUGUAGCCUCCCCUGCGUAGUACUAAAACCACCUCGCAGGCGGAGAGCGGUGCGGCCCGCCGUAAAACCCCCCAACUUUUACAAGGUCGACCUCAGAUCAGGUAGGAAUACCCGCUGAACUUAAGCAUAUCAAUAAGCGGAGGA